UUACUAUAAAUAGUGCACUGUACACUACUCUUUUCCAGUAUUCACAAAUCUCCAAUCAUGCACAAGGCCACGUGUGUAAUUCUCCUCUUGCUUUUUGUCGGACUUUUUGAUGUGUCGUCUGCAUCCUUUCCUCUAUGCACACAAUUAUGCAAUACAAAUAAAGGUAAUUGCCGAAAACCUAAAAUCGCCUGCAGUGUUUGUUGCAGACUCGUAGUCGGCUGCAGGUGCCCUCGUAUUGGAUGACCUUCACGAAACAGCUGGAUUCAAAGAUCACGUGGUUUGAGAAAUGUCCUCCAUAACUCUUAUGAAUUACUGGAAGUCUUUAUAUAGACAAUAUUUCUCAUUGUUUUCCAUAUUCCUUGUAUCAAUUUAAUUGUAUUUCUAUAUAAUUAUUAUUCAUUAUAUUGUAGUGUUUUGUUCAAUGGUGCUGGUCUUCAAUGAAUUUAAAAAAUAAAUAUAUACAUACAAAUAUAAA
Ostrea edulis (European flat oyster) is the source of this 475-nucleotide long non-coding RNA. RefSeq lists it as uncharacterized. The transcript is spliced from 3 exons. The record is from RefSeq and is a predicted model, not a curated record. Lineage: Eukaryota; Metazoa; Mollusca; Bivalvia; Ostreida; Ostreidae.